Molecule: ribosomal RNA, 590 nt
Filed under: Ostrea denselamellosa
Lineage: Eukaryota; Metazoa; Mollusca; Bivalvia; Ostreida; Ostreidae
Description: 16S ribosomal RNA
Source: RNAcentral
GCUAUAGGUAUAAAAUUAAAGGCAGUUUAGAUGAAAAACUUUUUACAUAACAGAGUAUGGGGAUAUCAGAAAUGUUAAACUUAGCUAUACAUAAGUCUGUAGAGAUUUACAUAAAAAUAAAAAAGCUUUAAUAACUAAGUACCUUUUGUAUAAUGGUCUUUUAAGAGAAUUUGCCUUAAUGGCUUAUCCCGAACUAAGUAGAUUUUUUAAAAAACGGCAUAAAGGUUUUCGAUGUGAGAAAUCUUUUGAUUUUUUAAAGGAUGUGAUAUGCAAUAUCGAAACUUAGGAUAGCUGGUUAAGCGAUAAAUGCUUUUAAGUGCAGCUUUGAGGGUUAUGGUUUGCGGGGGGGAAAGCCCAAUAACUAGCUUCAAAAGUGAAAAACUUAGCUAAAGGUUAAGUUUAAAAUCUUCUUAAAAUUUGUUCUUGGUAAAGAAAAGUUGGAUUUAUAAUGUCUGUUUUGAUAAGAGUAUUUAACAAUUUAUCUUUAUUUAAAAAAGAAGAAUUAAUGAUGUUUAGGAGGUGUGAAAGAUCGCUUAAUUGCUAAAAAUGUUUUGUAGCAAGUUUUUAUGAACAGAAUUAGUAGUGACUGU